RNAcentral lists this ribosomal RNA (474 nucleotides) under uncultured bacterium. RNAcentral describes it as "bacterial SSU rRNA". It matches the Rfam family "Bacterial small subunit ribosomal RNA", at positions 335 to 799 of the family's 1533-position model. The record is from RNAcentral.
ACUCCUACGGGAGGCAGCAGUGGGGAAUAUUGCACAAUGGGGGAAACCCUGAUGCAGCCAUGCCGCGUGUGUGAAGAAGGCCUUCGGGUUGUAAAGCACUUUCAGUAGGGAGGAAGGUAGUGUAGUUAACACCUGCACUAUUUGACGUUACCUACAGAAGAAGCACCGGCUAACUCCGUGCCAGCAGCCGCGGUAAUACGGAGGGUGCGAGCGUUAAUCGGAAUUACUGGGCGUAAAGCGCAUGCAGGCGGCCUGUUAAGUCAGAUGUGAAAGCCCGGGGCUUAACCUCGGAAUUGCAUUUGAAACUGGCAGGCUAGAGUCUUGUAGAGGGGGGUAGAAUUUCAGGUGUAGCGGUGAAAUGCGUAGAGAUCUGAAGGAAUACCAGUGGCGAAGGCGGCCCCCUGGACAAAGACUGACGCUCAGAUGCGAAAGCGUGGGGGAGCAAACAGGAUUAGAUACCCUGGUAGCACAGAG